ACCUACUAGUGUCAUAAUGCUGUUACACUUCCUUAUUUUUACUCUUCAGUUCUCAGUCGCGUAAACACCCUACUACCAAUCUGUCGUCACAGAACGGGGCUUUUAAAAAUCUCUUAUCUGCUGUUUGUUCAUAGGAAAUGCCCGACCAUGACUGUGCUGGGACAUUUUGAACAUUUCGUCAGCGUUCUGGUAGGCGCUAUGGAAGUUUUUCAAAUUUUGAUACGCAGAGAUCCCGCCUUAAACCCCUCCAGUGGAAAUUUACGGUCUUAUUUUGUCUUCCUCUUGUUCUUCCCCAGUGCUUUCAAAUGACCAAAGUCUUUCACCGGUCAUGUUGUUUCCCCUCUGGUAGGCAGCACAGCUGCCUAUAUUAGGAAAUGCGGCCGAGGGACUGUUGUUUUACGCUGGUGUCAGGGAGCAAAGGUGAAACCCCGGCGUUCGCUGCGAACCCGGCCCAGCCGUGCCGUGGGAGCGCGGUGCCGGUACCGACGGCCAGAACGGCGUCCGCGGGCCUGGGCCGCCGCGCCUCCGGCCGCUCCCCUUCCCGGCUGCUCGCCAGUUCCGCGCCCACGGCCUGGAAAUCCCCGUCCGGGAAGAACCCUCGGGUUUCCCCCGCCCGAGGAACAAGGCAGAGGAAAGUACCCAAGGUCCCCGCUGACUACAGCCCCGCCCUCCCCCACAGCGCCUGUCGAGGCGGAACAUCCGCCCGGGGAGCCCCGGGGCCGAGGGGCCCUGCCCAGGGAGCCCCUCCCGGCCCGUCUCGCCGCACGAGGGCGCUCGCGGCGCCGGCAAAGGGCGGGGCUGCGCCCGGCGCUCGCCGGGAGCUCCGGGCCAGCUCAGCUGGAGUUUCCGAGGCGGGGCCGUGCCGGGCUCCCUGCCCCGCGCCCUGCCGGGCGCACACAUAUAGGCUGGGCCUUCUGGGGGCCGCCGCGAGGGAUUGUGCGGUGGCUGUUUUGCUCUGUUACAAAAAAUUGAAUAAUUGAAACUACAGAUACUUAAAAUUUCUUCUUGAGGACAGUCAGUACCAAUAUGGAGACGUAGGCACCUUAGAAGGGACUUCAGUCUUACCUCUGGGAGGUAGUUCUGUGCAGAAAUAAAGAAACUAAGGCAUCAAUUACUUUUUUUUCCCCAUAAUCUAAGGGUUCUGUUUGCUUCUGUAUGCCAUAAACAUGGCAUACAGAAAAAACUUAAUUCAACAGUAUAAAGCAGCAGAAUGUCUCAACCCAAGGCAAUUAAUUUAUGUUAAAUUUGAUAACUCUGUACUUGUAACUAAAGCACCAGGCUAAAACUGAUGUGCCCUGUUAAUUUGGUGCUGACUUGUAGACAAGCCUGGAGCUAUCCAGGUUUGUGAAUAAAGAAAGUUCAUCCUUGUCUGGGACAGUGUAUAGAAUUUGUUUCUCUAAUAGCUGAAUAUUCUAUACAUGUGAAGUGGAGUAUAAACUAACUUGUUUAGUCUUAACAACUUGUUACAGCAAUAUGCAGAACUUGAGGGUUUUUUUUGGAGUGCAGUAGUGGCAAAUAUACAAGAUCAGUAUAGCAACAUCAUUUCAGGGUCUCUGUUUUUGUGUGCCCUUUGAACUUAAUAAAUCCUUCUUUUCAGCCUCCUAGUGAGGUUUCACAAACUAAAAUCUUUGUGUGUGUAUAAGCUACAUAUUUAUCAGCUUUCUAGGGUGAAUUCUUGUCCUUAAAUCACUUAACAUAUGUUCUGGAUAAGAACAACGUUGUUUUAGUUGCCUCCCAAUUUAGUUUCUUUAUUAACAAAGGAUUUUGAUAAACCCAUUUGAGGUUUUCCUCUUUUGAUCCUACCUCCACUAGCCUGACAAAUUGCUAUUGCUCUCCCCUCUCCCAGAUAUACAGAACAAGUAAAGCAUGUGAUGCUUGUAUGAUACAAUGGAAAUUGCUUUUCAACCCGCUUUCUUCAGUUGUUAAAAUGGGAUGGAGAAGCUUUUGCAGUGAAAGUAGUUGCUAAACUAAGGUGCAAGAACUUUCCAAAUGUUUAAUCAUCAGGUCAGUUCUAUUCAUAUGCACAUUUGAAGUUACACUUUAAAGUAUUUAUUGCUUUUGUACAGGGGUUGUUCCAAAUUGCCUUUAAUGCACACAACUACCUCCCAGAGGAAGACUUGUCCCAU
Molecule: long non-coding RNA, 2126 nt
Organism: Cyanoderma ruficeps (rufous-capped babbler)
Lineage: Eukaryota; Metazoa; Chordata; Aves; Passeriformes; Timaliidae
Source: Ensembl